Small nucleolar RNA from Phragmites australis (common reed), 130 nucleotides. RefSeq annotates it as small nucleolar RNA snoR113. The record is from RefSeq and is a predicted model, not a curated record. Lineage: Eukaryota; Viridiplantae; Streptophyta; Magnoliopsida; Poales; Poaceae. The transcript has a single exon.
UGGCAGUGAGGAGAUUGAAAGGCCGGUCUUACGGCUGCCUCCCUAUCUCCCAGAUAUGAUGAGUCCCUUGUCCUCUGGGAGUGGGAUGGUAGUAGCAUGAUGUGUUUCGGCGAAAGGUUCUCUGAGCCAU